CGGAACGUAGCGCAGCCUGGUAGCGCAUCUGCUUUGGGAGCAGAGGGUCGCGAGUUCGAAUCUCGCCGUUCCGACCA
RNAcentral lists this transfer RNA (77 nucleotides) under Ottowia sp. RNAcentral describes it as "tRNA-Pro". It matches the Rfam family "tRNA". Rfam says of the family: Transfer RNA (tRNA) molecules are approximately 80 nucleotides in length. Lineage: Bacteria; Pseudomonadati; Pseudomonadota; Betaproteobacteria; Burkholderiales; Comamonadaceae. The record is from RNAcentral.